UGAUGCGAUCAUACCAGCACUAACGCACCGGA
RNAcentral lists this ribosomal RNA (32 nucleotides) under Solanum abutiloides. Lineage: Eukaryota; Viridiplantae; Streptophyta; Magnoliopsida; Solanales; Solanaceae. The record is from RNAcentral.